GUCCACGCUGUAAACGAUGAACACUAGAUGUCGGGAGGGGUUCCUUCCGGUGUCGUCGCUAACGCAGUAAGUGUUCCGCCUGGGGAGUACGUUCGCAAGGAUGAAACUCAAAGGAAUUGACGGGGCCCGCACAAGCGGUGGAGCAUGUGGUUUAAUUCGAUGAUACGCGAGGAACCUUACCAAGGCUUAAAUGUAGAUUGACCGAUUUUGGAAACAGAUCUUUCGCAAGACAAUUUACAAGGUGCUGCAUGGUUGUCGU
This 259-nucleotide ribosomal RNA is filed under the name uncultured bacterium. RNAcentral describes it as "partial 16S ribosomal RNA". It matches the Rfam family "Bacterial small subunit ribosomal RNA", at positions 793 to 1055 of the family's 1533-position model. The record is from RNAcentral.